RNAcentral lists this ribosomal RNA (468 nucleotides) under uncultured bacterium. RNAcentral's name for it is "partial 16S ribosomal RNA". It matches the Rfam family "Bacterial small subunit ribosomal RNA", at positions 28 to 507 of the family's 1533-position model. The record is from RNAcentral.
GACGAACGCUGGCGGCGUGCUUAACACAUGCGAGUCGAACGGAAAGGCCCUGCUUUUGUGGGGUGCUCGAGUGGCGAACGGGUGAGUAACACGUGAGUAACCUGCCCUUGACUUUGGGAUAACUUCAGGAAACUGGGGCUAAUACCGGAUAGGAGCUCCUGCUGCAGGGUGGGGGUUGGAAAGUUUCGGCGGUUGGGGAUGGACUCGCGGCUUAUCAGCUUGUUGGUGGGGUAGUGGCUUACCAAGGCUUUGACGGGUAGCCGGCCUGAGAGGGUGACCGGCCACAUUGGGACUGAGAUACGGCCCAGACUCCUACGGGAGGCAGCAGUGGGGAAUAUUGCACAAUGGGCGGAAGCCUGAUGCAGCAACGCCGCGUGCGGGAUGACGGCCUUCGGGUUGUAAACCGCUUUCGCCUGUGACGAAGCGUGAGUGACGGUAAUGGGUAAAGAAGCACCGGCUAACUACGUG